GAGUCUAUUUUUAAAAAGUACACUUUAUAUAUUUUUGUAUUAUUUUUUUUUAUUUGUAGGAAGUUCCUUCUUUAAUUUUUUUUUUAAUUUUGUAUUCUACUUUUAUAUUAUCUUUUCUUUACAUUUUAUAUUGUCUAACCUUUUAUAUUCUUAAUCAUUUUUUUUCAUUGUGUAAUCUUUAUGUUUAUUUUUUUUAACUU
RNAcentral lists this long non-coding RNA (200 nucleotides) under Vigna radiata. Its description in RNAcentral is "long non-coding RNA (VRAD_LNC008947)". The record is from RNAcentral. Lineage: Eukaryota; Viridiplantae; Streptophyta; Magnoliopsida; Fabales; Fabaceae.